UGCUCUUUGUUUUACUCCAAUAAAGAGUCGAGCCUGCCCAGUGAAGUUUUUAACGGCCGCGGUACUCUGACCGUGCAAAGGUAGCAUAAUCAUUUGCCUUAUAAUUGAAGGCUAGUAUGAAUGGUUUGACGAAAGCAGACCUGUCUCCCUCCUAUUACCCAGAAAUUGACCUCUAGGUGAAGAGGCCUAGAUAUUAUUGAAGGACAAGAAGACCCUGUCGAGCUUAAAAGAACAGACGGAAGUUUAUAUAAUUAUAAAUAAAUAAUCCGUUCAGCUUUUUAGUUGGGGCGACUGAGGAACAAAAAAAGCUUCUUCCAUAAAAGAAACAAACGAGUUAAGAUCCAGCCAUAGUCUGAUCUAAGAAAUUAGUUACCGCAGGGAUAACAGCAUAAUCUCUCUUGAGAGACCUAAUCGAAAGAGGGGGUUGUGACCUCGAUGUUGGACUAGAAUAUCCUAAAGAUGCAGAAGUCUUUGAAGGUUGGUCUGUUCGACCAUUAAAAUUCU
This 504-nucleotide ribosomal RNA is filed under the name Terebralia sulcata. RNAcentral describes it as "partial 16S ribosomal RNA". It matches the Rfam family "Bacterial large subunit ribosomal RNA", at positions 1817 to 2597 of the family's 2925-position model. Lineage: Eukaryota; Metazoa; Mollusca; Gastropoda; Potamididae. The record is from RNAcentral.